This 159-nucleotide ribosomal RNA is filed under the name Amanita pseudovalens var. tartessiana. RNAcentral's name for it is "5.8S ribosomal RNA". It matches the Rfam family "5.8S ribosomal RNA". Rfam says of the family: 5.8S ribosomal RNA (5.8S rRNA) is a component of the large subunit of the eukaryotic ribosome. It is transcribed by RNA polymerase I as part of the 45S precursor that also contains 18S and 28S rRNA. Lineage: Eukaryota; Fungi; Basidiomycota; Agaricomycetes; Agaricales; Amanitaceae. The record is from RNAcentral.
AUACAACUUUCAACAAUGGAUCUCUUGGCUCUCGCAUCGAUGAAGAACGCAGCGAAAUGCGAUAAGUAAUGUGAAUUGCAGAAUUCAGUGAAUCAUCGAAUCUUUGAACGCACCUUGCGCUCCUUGGUAUUCUGAGGAGCAUGCCUGUUUGAGUGUCAU